RNAcentral lists this unclassified non-coding RNA (240 nucleotides) under soil metagenome. RNAcentral's name for it is "partial contains 5.8S ribosomal RNA, internal transcribed spacer 2, and large subunit ribosomal RNA". The record is from RNAcentral.
AACGGUCUAUACCUGCGGUACCUGCGGAGGGAUCAUUACCGAGUUAUCAACUCCCAAACCCCUGUGAACAUACCCGAACGUUGCCUCGGCGGGACCGCCCCGGCGCCCCUAGCGGCCCGGAACCAGGCGCCCGCCGGAGGACCCAAACUCUUGCUUUAAACAGUGGCAUACUCUCUAAGUCUCACAAACAAAAAAUAAAUCAAAACUUUUAGCAACGGAUCUCUAGAUCGGAAGAGCACA